UUUGUCACUGUGUAACCUGGAAACUGAAUCCUCUUAACAGGUCUACGGUGUUUCCUCUGUGGGAGACGCUGUGGAAACUUGACUGGUCUUGGAGCACUAAUGUCAUCAUGAAGGAGGCGGAGGUCAUGUAAAUCCUUGCUGCCAGGGGCGGGGUCAUCUGGCACAGCGCCAUUCAGAGGGGAAACUCAUUUGCAUGAGUCUCAAUCUUUGUUUUGUGCUGGUGUCCAGAUGUGCAGAGGCCUGCGCAGUCUG
RNAcentral lists this long non-coding RNA (252 nucleotides) under Sinocyclocheilus grahami. RNAcentral's name for it is "lncRNA (ENSSGRG00000032283.1)". Lineage: Eukaryota; Metazoa; Chordata; Actinopteri; Cypriniformes; Cyprinidae. The record is from RNAcentral.